This 287-nucleotide long non-coding RNA is filed under the name Elaeis guineensis (African oil palm). RNAcentral describes it as "long non-coding RNA (EGUI_LNC021895)". Lineage: Eukaryota; Viridiplantae; Streptophyta; Magnoliopsida; Arecales; Arecaceae. The record is from RNAcentral.
GGCACAGAGGAUCGGAAUCUACCGGAGGGUAACGCUCUUCCUCUGGAAGAUAGUGUGGUACCGACUGCCCUGUAAGAAUACUUAAUUUACACCAUCAGAAGCUUGUUAUUCUUUUCUUGUGUGAGUUGUGUACAAAUACGGAAGAGUCUAUUGAUCAUAUACUGUUCGAGUGCCCGACUGCACAGCGGAAUUGGGCUAAGCUGGUAUUCAAUUGCAUGUCUAUCAUGAAUAAGCCAUGGAACCUUAAGAUUUUCCUGUAUCAAGGAGGUGAGACACAGAGAGACAAG